This is a long non-coding RNA of Asparagus officinalis (garden asparagus), 592 nucleotides long. RefSeq lists it as uncharacterized. The transcript has 3 exons. The record is from RefSeq and is a predicted model, not a curated record. Lineage: Eukaryota; Viridiplantae; Streptophyta; Magnoliopsida; Asparagales; Asparagaceae.
AAAUUGAAAAGUGGAGUUGCUCACAUUAACAGGGCACUGGCUCAAAUAACUCAAAUAACUUGUUUUAUCUUCAUUUUUUUGUUUAAGUGAUUUUUAGUAAUGCAAAAAGUAAAGUUUAAGGUCUUAGUUGACUUUGAGGUCCAUGAACUUUGGGCACUUGUCUCACAGAAAGUGAUAAGCUUUCAAAUUUCGGGGGGUUUUCCAGGACCCCACUUAAAACCCUGACUAAAAAAAGAAGAAGAAGAAGACGAAGAAAGAAACGAUCGUUUUCUGCUCUAAUGGCGGUGUUGCUUGCAGAUGAAGCCAUUGAAGAGAAAGUUUCAGCGAUCUAGAACGAUGUAUCAGAAAUCAGAAACAAUUUCAGAAGCUUAGUUUUGGUGUGGAGGAGAAGGAAAACAAUGUAUUCGGUGGUUGGGUGAGAAGGAAAAAAACAAUUUGUAUAAACGUGGGUGUGGAGUUGAAGAACGUGUGCAGUUUCAUGAAAAUGUGGGGAGUUUUUUUUUUGUGGGUUGUUACAGGAAGUGGGAGUUGGGUUACUGGAUACGUGGGGGUUAGAGGAACUGGAUUUUCACAGAAAUAAGGUUUUAAAUAC